RNAcentral lists this long non-coding RNA (552 nucleotides) under Monodelphis domestica (gray short-tailed opossum). RNAcentral describes it as "lncRNA (ENSMODG00000042079.1)". Lineage: Eukaryota; Metazoa; Chordata; Mammalia; Didelphimorphia; Didelphidae. The record is from RNAcentral.
AAUGCCUGGAAAAAUGGAUUACGCUAAUUUUUGGAGGAAUGGAGGUGUUAAGUGACUUGCCCAGGAUCACACAACUAAGUUUAAGACAGAUGACUAUAGCCUCUCUGCAAUCAGUUCUUCCUUCUAGUGGCUAGAGUACUAUCAGCAUGGGAGUCACCAAGCAACUCAUUUCCAAUCUUCAGCCAUGUAAUUAACAGCAAAGAUGAAUAGAUACAACAAGAAAAUUCAUUUGCACAGCACUGGUGGUUCUAUUGGUGUGUUAUCCAGGAUAGAUGUUCCAUAAUUUUAUUUUACCUUUCAUUUGAUAGCCUUAAUUGGGUGACCCUGAUAAAUUUAAGGAAGCAGGCAAACAGCCUUUGCUCAUCAGCUCUGUAAGACAGAUCAUUCAUUUCUUGAACUAUAGUCUAACCAAUUAUAUCUAAGUAAACUUCAGAUAAGAUUUCAGGAGCAAGAUAUAGCCUUUCUUAUUUCUCUGAUAUCACUUUCUUUUAACAUUGAUGUUACUUAGACUUUGAAAAAAAUUCACCUUUUAAUAAAAUGAAGUUUCUUGAU